CCCUGGCCAACCAUAUCUUUCGGAUUCUUGCUCUGCAGCUAAUAGAGCUUCGCCUGGUCCAGGUAUGCAAUAACCUCUGUCCCGACCUGAAAACAUGCAAUCUGCUAUAAACUUUUGUGUUUUUCUUUUCAUGAUUUUCUGGUGCUCUAACUGUCUGGAACAAGUCUUGUUUAACCCAGCGCAAGUCAAAGGUUGUUAAUCUAAUGCCAGAUUGUAUGGUGUUGUAUAUAUACCUACCACAUUGCUUUUUAAUCGCCAAGUUUCCUACCAAAGUUUUAUUCAUAAUCCUUAUAGGUUGCAUUGUUAUCGGCUUAUCGCCACAGCAUAUUUUAACUGACUUAAGAUCAGUUAGUCGUAGCAGGUAAGGCUUGGUUAUUGGUCUCUGCUUCUGAUGCUUUUAAUAAAAAAUGCUUCUUAUUUUCUCCCACUUCAGGUCUUCUACAGACAUGUUGGCUAUAACUCAGCAGUGCAUAUAUAUGGGCAUGUUGAUAGGUACAUAAUUGUAGCUCGAGUAAAAAGAUACAAUGUGUAAAAUUAUCAAAUCUAGUACGUACAUUUGAGUCCUAUAGGAGUUGGAUAAUUUAUAGGUGCUGCAACUAGGCAAAGAAUGUUAUAUUCUGGAAUUGCUUAGUUUGACAUAAUGUCAAGAAAUUUUUUUUCCUUUGUUUCAAUAUACUACUUUCAUGGUACUAUUCCCAAAUAAUAAAUUUACUGUUGAAAAGCACAGCUAUUGCUAUCCAAUCUAUGAAUCGUGAUCUGAUGGUGCAAUGAAUAUAUGACAGUUAUUUUAGGAACAAUAUAUAUACUGGUAGGAGAUUCUUCUAUAUAAGCACCAUAGCUCAAGGUAAUAGACAGUAUUCUGAAAUUUGAAAUGAUUGCCAAAGACAUUAAGUACGGUUAGAUGACUUCUUGUUUAGGCAUUUUGGUUAAUUUUUGUAGAGAGAGAUGCCCUUACAGAUUUGUCCAGCAACUUUAAUACAACCAUCAAACCCUUUGUCUGCUUCCAGUGAUGGUUCUGGCCUUCUGGACCUUGAACUUGAGUCUUAUCAUUGUUACGCAUAUAAUAACUUCAAUUCAAAGCUAAGAAAUCUCUUUGGCAGAAUGUGCUGCUAAGGAACAACACAAGACCAGACUUUUCCUUGCAAUAGGGUAUCUGUAUAGGCAGUAGCUAUUGAUCUCAGGACUGAUAUUGCUAUGACUCUUACCAUUCUUCAAAUUCUUGAAGGAAAACAGUCGCUUGAGAUCAACUGUUGUGCAUGCGCGAGAGCUGGGGUAUAUCUUUCUCUAGUGAAAUUUCUGUAUCUAGAAGCUUAGGUGGAUACCUGAAGAGUCGAUUCACCACCUUUCUUUCCGCGAUUUGUCAUACCUGUAAGUCGAUCCGACUUGAACAGUCAGAGCGACACCCUUAGAUCUAAGGUCAUGCCAUCUCUCUUCUAGGUUCCUGGUUUUCUUGGAAGUCCAUGAUUUCCAGAGGGGAUGUAGAGACCAUUUGUUUGUAAAUGGUUUGAAAUCUGAAGGACCCUUUUCUAGAAGUUCAGUCCCUUGAAUAGGA
This 1552-nucleotide long non-coding RNA is filed under the name Daucus carota (carrot). RNAcentral describes it as "long non-coding RNA (DCAR_LNC005263)". The record is from RNAcentral. Lineage: Eukaryota; Viridiplantae; Streptophyta; Magnoliopsida; Apiales; Apiaceae.